AAAAAGCGGAGGAAAAGAAACCAACAGGGAUUGCCUCAGUAGCGGCGAGUGAAGCGGCAAGAGCUCAGAUUUGAAAUCGUGUUUCGGCACGAGUUGUAAAUUGCAGGUUGGAGUCUUUGUGGAUGUGCGUGUCCAAGUCCCUUGGAACAGGGCGCCACUGAGGGUGAGAGCCCCGUGGGAUGCGCAUUGAAGCUCUAAGGCCCUUCUGACGAGUCGAGUUGUUUGGGAAUGCAGCUCUAAGCGGGUGGUAAAUUCCAUCUAAGGCUAAAUAUUGGCGAGAGACCGAUAGCGAACAAGUACUGUGAAGGAAAGAUGAAAAGCACUUUGAAAAGAGAGUGAAACAGCACGUGAAAUUGUUGAAAGGGAAGGGUAUUGGGUCCGACAUGGGGACUGCGCAUCGUUGCUUCUUGUAGGCGGCGCUCUGUGCUCUCUCUGGGCCAGCAUCGGUUUUUGCCGCAGGAUAAGGGGCGUUGGAACGUGGCUCCUCGGAGUGUUAUAGCCAACGCCAGAUGCUGCGUGCGGGGCCCGAUGGGCUGCGACAUUGUGUCAU
Molecule: ribosomal RNA, 550 nt
Filed under: Pichia sporocuriosa
Lineage: Eukaryota; Fungi; Ascomycota; Pichiomycetes; Pichiales; Pichiaceae
Description: partial large subunit ribosomal RNA
Rfam family: Eukaryotic large subunit ribosomal RNA
Source: RNAcentral